AGAAAAACUUAACAAUUAAUAAAUUGUCAAAUACAUUAAACCAAACCAAUAAACAAAAUGAUGCCCUAUCCUUAUUAGCUAGCCAUAUCUUCACUUGCUAAUACAAAAAAGUUAACAGGUAUAUUAACAACAGAUUGCCUUUACAAUUGAAGCACACAAGCACAGUUAUGUACAUGCAUGAAAAUCCGCUAUGCAUAUUAGGACUAAUACAAAUGACACAUGGACAAAAACUUUGGAAACAGCAGCCUUUUCAAGCCGUCAACAACAACAACUACCUAGUAUACUCUCACAAAGUGAGGUCUGGGAAGGGUAAUAUGUAGACAGGCCUUACCCCUACCCGAAAGGGCAGAGAGGCUGUUUNNNNNNNNNNNNNNNNNNNNNNNNNNNNNNNNNNNNNNNNNNNNNNNNNNNNUUGGCUAACCCUAGAGAGAGGCUGUUUCCAAUCGACCCUCGGAAGAGCGUUAGUAACUCCAGCAUAAUUCGCGUAAAUAAUUAUCUAAACAUAAGAACAAUAAAUAAAAAAGCAAGCAAUAAUAUCAAACAGUAACUACCAUAAAUCAUCUAAGGAUACAAAAAUCAUCUGAGAAUAGCCCUGCCAAGCUUCACCCAACCCCGGGAAAGGAGUACGAAAAAUUCUAGUAGCCCCUAUCCUACAACCCUCAUACUAGACCUCCAUACUUUCAUAUCAAUGGCCAUGUUCUCGGAAAUCUGAAUCAUGGCCAUGUCAUGCCUAAUCACCUCUCCCCAAUACCUCUUAGGCCUCCCUCUGCCUCGCCUCACGCCAACCACCGGCAAAUGCUCACAACUCCUCACCGGGGCAUCUGGACUUCUCCUCCAUACAUGCUCGAACCGCCUGAGCCUCGCUUUUCACAUCUUCUCAUCCAUCGGGGCAACCCCCACCUUCUGUCAAAUAACUACAUUCUUAAUCUUAUCUAACCUGGUGAGCCCGCAAAUCCACCUGAGCAUCCUCAUCUCUGCAACCUUCAUUCAUUCGACAUGAGAGUUCUUCACCAGCCAGCACUCCGCCCCAUACAACAUGGCAGGCCUAACCACAGCUCUAUAAAAUUUCCCCUUG
This 1075-nucleotide long non-coding RNA is filed under the name Nicotiana benthamiana. RNAcentral describes it as "long non-coding RNA (NBEN_LNC034655)". The record is from RNAcentral. Lineage: Eukaryota; Viridiplantae; Streptophyta; Magnoliopsida; Solanales; Solanaceae.